CCUACGGGGGGCUGCAGUGGGGAAUAUUGGACAAUGGGGGCAACCCUGAUCCAGCCAUGCCGCAUGUGUGAAGAAGGCCCUCGGGUUGUAAAGCACUUUCAGUGAGGAAGAACGCCUGGUGGUUAAUACCCAUCAGGAAAGACAUCACUCACAGAAGAAGCACCGGCUAACUCCGUGCCAGCAGCCGCGGUAAUACGGAGGGUGCGAGCGUUAAUCGGAAUUACUGGGCGUAAAGCGCGCGUAGGUGGCUUGAUAAGCCGGUUGUGAAAGCCCCGGGCUCAACCUGGGAACGGCAUCCGGAACUGUCAAGCUAGAGUGCAGGAGAGGAAGGUAGAAUUCCCGGUGUAGCGGUGAAAUGCGUAGAGAUCGGGAGGAAUACCAGUGGCGAAGGCGGCCUUCUGGACUGACGCUGACACUGAGGUGCGAAAGCGUGGGUAGCAAACAGGAUUAGAUACCCUAGUAGUC
RNAcentral lists this ribosomal RNA (465 nucleotides) under Vreelandella stevensii. RNAcentral describes it as "partial 16S ribosomal RNA". It matches the Rfam family "Bacterial small subunit ribosomal RNA", at positions 338 to 795 of the family's 1533-position model. The record is from RNAcentral. Lineage: Bacteria; Pseudomonadati; Pseudomonadota; Gammaproteobacteria; Oceanospirillales; Halomonadaceae.